AGGAAAGCGGCGGCGGUGGCGGCUUCAACAGCAGCUCUUGCCCUUAAGGAACAAUAACUGUCCAUUUGGCUAUGAGCGAAUCAUCCUGCUUGCUUUUAUAAGCAUUUAUCCUGAAAAGAAAUUUAAAGCAGACAUCCCAUAAAUGGAGUCUGGGACAGAAACCUACACAUUGGGGCUUGGUGGCAUGCAUGUUUAGUCCCAGCUACACAGCAGGGAGGCUGAGGCUGAAGGAAUACUUGAGCCCAGGAAUUCAAGACUAGCCUGCACAACAUAGUGAGACCCUGACUUUAAAAUAAAUUUAAAAAAAUUAAAAGCAACAAGACUUUCUGCUUGUAUAUGAUGAUGUUAGUAUGCUGACUUACAAGGUUAGAUCAUUUUGAUAUGUGUGAUGUAGGUUUUCAAAGCUGGCACUGUUUUAUGCUUCAAAUAUUAUUUUUAUUCAUUGGUUCUCAUGGGAUUUCAUCACUAAGCUGUAAAUCAAUAAUCAUAAUGUUGAGGGGAGGGGAUUACAAAAUAGCUCUUCAAAAUCAUCUUUGCAUUUCUCAAUAAACAGCAUUCCCUUUUGGACUACAGUGAAAAAUAUUGAGCUUUGUUUACUUUGAAAAUGAGUCUUAGUCUAUGAAUGCCUGGGUAGGGUCAAGAAUGAAAAAUGAGAGGAAGAGAGAAGCAUCAGGAAGAUAAAAUGAUCAAUCUCACAAAACUUGCUAUUUUUAGAAAGCAUCAUUCUAAUUUUGAAACCAAAAAAAUGGGGAAAAACAGAGUAAUGGAAUAAUAGAAUGCCUCAUGUACAAAAGCAACAAUUUCAGAGAUGAUCUAAAACAACUUAUUAGUUAUAGGAAGAAAUAUACCUGAAAAGGGCAAAAAUAAGUUGGGUUUGGCCUCUUGUCACUGAAAUUAUCUACUAAAUCUAACAGCAUCUAUGUUCCUUUAGCUGUUGUGUAUAUUGUACACAAAUGUGAAACCAUAACUCAUAUUUUACCUAUAACAAUUUGCAAUAAAUAACUAAUUAUGAAGGCUUGCAUGUCAUUUUUGAAGACCUUGUAAGUCUAAUUCAAAGGAAUUUUCCAAGAAAAAUAUUGGGAGGUAGGGUUAUACAUUGACAUAUAUAAUUAUACACCUAUGCCAUAUAUAUGUAUGUAUGUGAAUAAUGAACACACAUAGGUAAUUUGAGAUUGAUUCCUCUAAAAAACUGUGCUCACCAGGUGUGGUGGCUCAUGACUGUAUCCCUAGCGCUUUGGGAGGCUGAGCCAGGCAGAUCACUUGAGGUCAGGAGUUUGAAACUAGCCUGGCCAACAUGGUGAAAACCCAUAUCAAGGGUGUGGUGGCAUGCACCUGUAAUCCCAACUUCUUGGGAUGCUGAGGCAGGAGAAUUGCUUGAAUGCAGGAGGUGGAGAUUGCAGUGAGCCGAGAACGCAUCACUGCACUCUAGCCUGAGCAACAGAGCAAGACUCAGUCUCCAAAAAAUAAUAAUAAUAGUAAUAAUAAUAAUACUCGGAGCUUACUAAUUUUUAUAGGUUUCUUAAAAAAUAGUUCUAAGUUUUAGAACUCCAUGUUUUAUGUGAAUACUGAGUUAUUUUAUCUCUAUUUAUUAGACUUUCUUUUCCCAUUUAAUUCCUUUAGCAUUCUUGCCAAAAAGCAACAUGCUAUAUAAAUGAGGGUCAGUGUAUGUCCUCUUUAUGCAUUGCUAAUUUGCCUCUAUGUAUAAUAAUAACAGGACCUCUGAAUUCCUGAUGUUUACAGUAAAUUCUGGGAUUACACAACCUCCUGUAUAUACAGUUCUUUUUCAAUAUCAUGUGUCUCUUCUUGGUCCUUCACAUUUCCAGAUAAUACUUAGAUAACACUUCUCCAUUUCUGCUUAAAAAUCCUAUCAGUAUAAUGAGAAAAUUUGCAUUAAAUAUAUCAACCAAUUUGAGAAGGUUUUGUAUUUAACAACAUUAAGUCGUUUAAUCCAUGCACGUGGUAUAUAUUCCAAUUUAUCUCAGUCUUCUUAUUUUCUUUUUUUUAUUAUUAUACUUUAAGUUAAAGGGUACAUGUGCACAACGUGCAGGUUUGUUACAUAGGUAUACAUGUGCCAUGUUGGUCUGCUGCACUCAUCAACUCGUCAUUUACAUUAGGUAUUUCUCCUAAUGCUAUCCCUCCCUAGCUCCCCACCUCCCAACAGGCCCUGGUGUGUGAUGUUCCUCGCCCUGUGACCAUGUGUUCUCAUUGUUCAGCUCCCACCUAUGAGUGAGAAUAUGCGGUGUUUGGUUUUCUGUCCUUGUGAUAGUUUACUUAGAAUGAUGAUCUCCAGCUUCAUCCAUGUCACUGUAAAGGACAUGAACUCAUCCUUUUUAAUUCAGCGUUCUUCUUUUCUUAAAAUCGUGCUAUGUGGAUUUCAGUGGUGAGAUCUUGGAUAAUUUUUUUUUCUUUUAAAUAUUCUGGCCAGUCAUGGUGGCUCAUGCCCAGCACUUUGGGAGCUGAAGUGUGUGCAUCACCUGAGGUCAGGAGUUCAAGGCCAGCCUGGGCAACAUGAUGAAAGCCCGUAUCUACUAAAAAUACAAAAAUUAUCUGAGCACGGUGGUGCAUGCCUGUAAUCCCAACUACUCAAGAGGCUGAGGCAGGAGAAUUGCUUGAGCCCAGGAGGUGAAGAUUGCAGUGAGCUGAGGUUGUGCCAUUGCACUCCAGCCUAGGCAAAAGAGCAUGGCUCUGUC
This 2690-nucleotide long non-coding RNA is filed under the name Homo sapiens (human). RNAcentral describes it as "HSALNT0409453". Lineage: Eukaryota; Metazoa; Chordata; Mammalia; Primates; Hominidae. The record is from RNAcentral.